ACGGGAGGCAGCAGUUAGGAAUAUUGGGCAAUGGAGGCAACUCUGACCCAGCAACGCCGCGUGAAGGACGAAGGUCUUCGGAUUGUAAACUUCUUUUUUGUGGGACAAAAACAAUGAUGGUACCACUAGAAUAAGACACGGCUAACUACGUGCCAGCAGCCGCGGUAAUACGUAGGUGUCAAGCGUUGUCCGGAAUUACUGGGCGUAAAGAGAGCGUAGGUGGCUUAUUAAGUUGAAUGUGAAAGCCCGGGGCUUAACUCCGGAAGGUCAUUCAAUACUGGUAGGCUUGAGUUUAGUAGGGGUAAGCGGAAUUCCUAGUGUAGAGGUGAAAUUCGUAGAUAUUAGGAAGAACACCGGUGGCGAAGGCGGCUUACUGGGCUAACACUGACGCUGAGGCUCGAAAGCGUGGGGAGCAAACAGGAUUAGAUACCCUGGUA
RNAcentral lists this ribosomal RNA (437 nucleotides) under uncultured Clostridium sp. Its description in RNAcentral is "partial 16S ribosomal RNA". It matches the Rfam family "Bacterial small subunit ribosomal RNA", at positions 341 to 792 of the family's 1533-position model. The record is from RNAcentral. Lineage: Bacteria; Bacillati; Bacillota; Clostridia; Eubacteriales; Clostridiaceae.